Molecule: ribosomal RNA, 799 nt
Filed under: Oceanobacillus sp.
Lineage: Bacteria; Bacillati; Bacillota; Bacilli; Caryophanales; Bacillaceae
Description: bacterial SSU rRNA
Rfam family: Bacterial small subunit ribosomal RNA
Source: RNAcentral
GCGGUCCUUUAAGUCUGAUGGGAAAUCUCGCGGCUCAACCGCGAACGGUCAUUGGAAACUGGAGGACUUGAGUACAGAAGAGGAGAGUGGAAUUCCACGUGUAGCGGUGAAAUGCGUAGAGAUGUGGAGGAACACCAGUGGCGAAGGCGACUCUCUGGUCUGUAACUGACGCUGAGGAGCGAAAGCGUGGGGAGCGAACAGGAUUAGAUACCCUGGUAGUCCACGCCGUAAACGAUGAGUGCUAGGUGUUAGGGGGUUUCCGCCCCUUAGUGCUGAAGUUAACGCAUUAAGCACUCCGCCUGGGGAGUACGGCCGCAAGGCUGAAACUCAAAAGAAUUGACGGGGGCCCGCACAAGCGGUGGAGCAUGUGGUUUAAUUCGAAGCAACGCGAAGAACCUUACCAGGUCUUGACAUCCUCUGCCAUUCCUAGAGAUAGGAAGUUCCCUUCGGGGACAGAGUGACAGGUGGUGCAUGGUUGUCGUCAGCUCGUGUCGUGAGAUGUUGGGUUAAGUCCCGCAACGAGCGCAACCCUUGAUCUUAGUUGCCAGCAUUUAGUUGGGCACUCUAAGGUGACUGCCGGUGACAAACCGGAGGAAGGUGGGGAUGACGUCAAAUCAUCAUGCCCCUUAUGACCUGGGCUACACACGUGCUACAAUGGAUGGAACAAAGGGAAGCAAAACCGCGAGGUCAAGCAAAUCCCAUAAAACCNUUCNCAGUUCGGAUUGCAGGCUGCAACUCGCCUGCAUGAAGCCGGAAUCGCUAGUAAUCGCGGNUCAGCAUGCCGCGGUGAAUACGUUCC